AAAAAGUGUGGAAAAUCAAGAAAAACAAGUGAAAAAGGUGGUGAGUCCUCCGAUAAAGGCAAGGAAAUUGCAUCCGAGGACCAUAGUCAGAGUACUUCAAAAAUUCGCACUCUAGACAUUUGGGCGGGUUUCCAUGGACCAGACUAUUAGAGGGGCACGA
Molecule: non-coding RNA, 160 nt
Organism: Theobroma cacao (cacao)
Lineage: Eukaryota; Viridiplantae; Streptophyta; Magnoliopsida; Malvales; Malvaceae
Source: RefSeq, a predicted model, not a curated record